CAGGAAAUACCAAUCCAGGCCCUUCCGGUUUGGUAAUUGGAAUGAGUUAAGUAUAAACCCCCUAACAAGUAUCAAUUGGAGGGCAAGUCUGGUGCCAGCAGCCGCGGUAAUUCCAGCUCCAAUAGCGUAUAUUAAAGUUGUUGCAGUUAAAAAGCUCGUAGUUAAUUUUCUGUUAAUUUUUAUAUACAAUGCUACGGUAUUUAUAUAAUAUUAACAUAAUUCAUAUUACUUUUUAGUAUAUGAAACUUUACUUUGAAAAAAUUAAAAUGGUUAAAGCA
Molecule: ribosomal RNA, 278 nt
Filed under: Cryptosporidium ryanae
Lineage: Eukaryota; Apicomplexa; Conoidasida; Eucoccidiorida; Cryptosporidiidae
Description: partial 18S small subunit ribosomal RNA
Rfam family: Eukaryotic small subunit ribosomal RNA
Source: RNAcentral